GGCACUAUAGUGUAGUGGUUAUCACUCGGGAUUUUGACUUGAUGGAAUCUUCCCGAAACCCAGGUUCGAACCCUGGUAGCGCCU
Molecule: transfer RNA, 84 nt
Organism: Termitomyces sp. J132
Lineage: Eukaryota; Fungi; Basidiomycota; Agaricomycetes; Agaricales; Lyophyllaceae
Rfam family: tRNA
About the family: Transfer RNA (tRNA) molecules are approximately 80 nucleotides in length. Their secondary structure includes four short double-helical elements and three loops (D, anti-codon, and T loops).
Source: Rfam